UACGGAGGGUGCGAGCGUUGUCCGGAAUUACUGGGCGUAAAGCGCACGUAGGCGGACUAUUAAGUCAGGGGUGAAAUCCCGGGGCUCAACCCCGGAACUGCCUUUGAUACUGGUAGUCUCGAGUCCGGAAGAGGUGAGUGGAAUUCCGAGUGUAGAGGUGAAAUUCGUAGAUAUUCGGAGGAACACCAGUGGCGAAGGCGGCUCACUGGUCCGGUACUGACGCUGAGGUGCGAAAGCGUGGGGAGCAAACAGG
RNAcentral lists this ribosomal RNA (253 nucleotides) under uncultured bacterium. RNAcentral's name for it is "partial 16S ribosomal RNA". It matches the Rfam family "Bacterial small subunit ribosomal RNA", at positions 524 to 776 of the family's 1533-position model. The record is from RNAcentral.